This 399-nucleotide ribosomal RNA is filed under the name uncultured bacterium. Its description in RNAcentral is "bacterial SSU rRNA". It matches the Rfam family "Bacterial small subunit ribosomal RNA", at positions 358 to 773 of the family's 1533-position model. The record is from RNAcentral.
GGGAUAUUGCACAAUAGGCGCAAGCCUGAUGCAGCGACGCCGCGUGGGUGAUGCCGGUCUUCGGAUUGUAAAACCCUUUUCUAGAUGACGAGCAAGGACGGUAGUCUAGGAAUAAGUGUCGGCUAACUACGUGCCAGCAGCCGCGGUAAAACGUAGGACACGAGCGUUAUCCGGAGUUACUGGGCGUAAAGGGCGUGCAGGCGGUUGGGUAAGACUGAUGUGAAAGCGCCCGGCUUAACCGGGCGAGGACAUUGGUGACUGCCUAACUAGAGGCAGAUAGAGGGGUGUAGAAUUCCGGGUGUAGUGGUGAAAUGCGUAGAGAUCCGGAGGAAUACCAGAGGCGAAGGCGGCACCCUGGGUCUGACCUGACGCUGAGACGCGACAGCAUGGGGAGCGAAC